UUCACUGUGUUAGCCAGGAUGGUCUCCAUCUCCUGACCUUGUGAUCCGCCCGCCUCUGCCUCCCAAAGUGCUGGGAUUACAGGCAUGAGCCACCGUGCCUGGCCUAGAAUGUCCUUUCUUUUUGAAACCGAGUAAUAUUCCAUUAUCACCUUUCAGAGGAGAAGAGUUUUAAAGAAUCCUCUCUGUUCGACAGGGUUUUAAGAGAGCAGUUAACUACUGUAGAUAAAGAAACACUUCAAGGGGCAGCUAAACCAGAUGCUCACUUUAGGACUAUGCCCUGCGGGCAGCUUCUGCACUUCCUGCAGAGGAACACCAUCAUCGCCGCCGUCUCAGGGGUGGCCAUCCUCAUGGCCACCGUGCUGUUGCUGCUUGGGUUGGCCUCAUACAUCAGGAAGAAACAGCCAUCAUCUCCUCCGGCAAACACGACAUAUAAUAUUUUUAUAAUGAAUGGAAAGACAUGGUGGCAAAAUUCUGAAGAAAAAAAUUUCACAAAAUGUGCAAAAAAACAGAAACAGUUGAAGAGCAGCUCCGGCGUCUAAGCCAGGUCGUGGGGCAGUCAAACCAGGACUUGAAACCACAAUGCGAGCACAUUCUUCAUCUGCACACCACAGGGAGGCAAUUCCAUUUCUGCCUGGGAGGUGUAUUCUACAAAAACGUCUGCUUCCCGUCCCAAUUUGAAUGGACCAAGAAAAACUGCUUUACUGUAGGACACUUGUGGCCAUAUGGCACUGGUGGCUGGUGUCGGCGAACCCGACAGACUAUGGACUUAUUUGAU
Molecule: small RNA, 775 nt
Filed under: Pongo abelii (Sumatran orangutan)
Lineage: Eukaryota; Metazoa; Chordata; Mammalia; Primates; Hominidae
Description: processed transcript
Source: RNAcentral